UUACGUUCAAAUCACGCUGAAACACCGGUUCUCGUACGAUCACCGAAGUUAAGCAGCGUAGAGCCAGGUCAGUACUUAGAUGGGGGACCGCUUGGGAACACCUGGUACUGUAAG
This 114-nucleotide ribosomal RNA is filed under the name Acanthosepion pharaonis. The record is from RNAcentral. Lineage: Eukaryota; Metazoa; Mollusca; Cephalopoda; Sepiida; Sepiidae.